GAUGAACGCUGGCGGCGUGCCUAACACAUGCAAGUCGAGCGAUUUACUUCGGUAAAGAGCGGCGGACGGGUGAGUAACGCGGGGGUAACCUGCCCUGUACACACGGAUAACAUACCGAAAGGUAUGCUAAUACGAGAUAAUAUGCUUUUAUCGCAUGGUAGAAGUAUCAAAGCUUUUGCGGUACAGGAUGGACCCGCGUCUGAUUAGCUAGUUGGUGAGGUAACGGCUCACCAAGGCGACGAUCAGUAGCCGACCUGAGAGGGUGAUCGGCCACAUUGGAACUGAGACACGGUCCAAACUCCUACGGGAGGCAGCAGUGGGGAAUAUUGCACAAUGGGCGAAAGCCUGAUGCAGCAACGCCGCGUGAGCGAUGAAGGCCUUCGGGUCGUAAAGCUCUGUCCUCAAGGAAGAUAAUGACGGUACUUGAGGAGGAAGCCCCGGCUAACUACGUG
Molecule: ribosomal RNA, 452 nt
Filed under: uncultured bacterium
Lineage: Bacteria
Description: partial 16S ribosomal RNA
Rfam family: Bacterial small subunit ribosomal RNA
Source: RNAcentral